This 217-nucleotide ribosomal RNA is filed under the name uncultured bacterium. RNAcentral describes it as "partial 16S ribosomal RNA". It matches the Rfam family "Bacterial small subunit ribosomal RNA", at positions 328 to 538 of the family's 1533-position model. The record is from RNAcentral.
ACGCUCGACACCUACGGGAGCAGCAGUAGGGAAUCUUCCACAAUGGACGCAAGUCUGAUGGAGCAACGCCGCGUGAGUGAAGAAGGUCUUCGGAUCGUAAAACUCUGUUGUUAGAGAAGAACACGAGUGAGAGUAACUGUUCAUUCGAUGACGGUAUCUAACCAGCAAGUCACGGCUAACUACGUGCCAGAGCGCGGUAGUACUGAGNGGCGNGNAG